UGAUUCGCUCGUCUUCAAGAUCCUCCAGAUGAUCAGCUUUCCGAAAAAGGUGAUUGGACUGUUUCCUAUCCUUCGGAAGUUUCCGGUUAUCGACACGAGAUGAUAUUCAGAACUACUCAAAACGCAGCCAUUCGCUUAAUCCCUAACUUUUGCCUGGAUCGCCCUUUCGGGUUUUCAAUCCACCGGGAUACCCAUUUUUG
Molecule: long non-coding RNA, 200 nt
Filed under: Lathyrus oleraceus (garden pea)
Lineage: Eukaryota; Viridiplantae; Streptophyta; Magnoliopsida; Fabales; Fabaceae
Description: Pisum sativum (pea) long non-coding RNA (PSAT_LNC039856)
Source: RNAcentral